Olea europaea var. sylvestris is the source of this 1351-nucleotide long non-coding RNA. RefSeq lists it as uncharacterized. The transcript has 2 exons. The record is from RefSeq and is a predicted model, not a curated record. NCBI's taxonomy places the organism in Eukaryota, Viridiplantae, Streptophyta, Magnoliopsida, Lamiales, Oleaceae.
AAUGCCCACCACUGAUUAUAGACAAAAAUCUCAAAAUCGCCACAAAAUCCACAACUCAAGUUUCUUUGUACGAAAAACAUAGGGUGAAAAAACAAUCGCCAACCAGCGAAUCAUUCCAUGGUGGCUUUGGUGUCUCCAAUUGAUAACUAUUUCGUCCUCUAUAGACUUUUUCUUGAAGUUUUCGCUUUACUGUGCACCAUUAACGGUCUCAGAUGAUUGUAAAGUUCUAUUAGCUUCUGCUAGUAUAAAUUGAGAAGGAACGACAAAAGUUACAGAUAUAACUGAGGAUUUUAAAGAUGCAACUCGGCUUGUGGCACUGGGUUUGGGAUAUAAUGAGGUUCUUUUUCUUUGUGAUGUUUGUUAUUUUUCAAUCAAUGUGAGAUCAGUCGGAAUUUUUGCUAUAUUUUUCCAUUGACAAUGUAUAUGGUGGCUUAAGAUUGGAAUUUAAAACUUUUUCAACACAAUUAUAAUUACUUUGUGAGGUUUGACAGUCGAGUUUUGUUUUGUGUAAAAUGCUAUGUGGAUAUUUGUUUAUGAAAUGCUAUGAAAAUUCUCCUAUGUGAUCUUUCUUUAUUUCUUCAAUCUUGAUAUACAGAGUUGAUUGCAAAACGUUCUUUAUGUAUUAUUUGCUGUACUAUAGUUUUGUUUUAGAAGAGAAAUACUGCAAUGUGAUUACUUAUUAGAAUGGGCAUCUGCAUAUAGAGUUCAUUUGCUUACCAUGGUGAAGUGCUGUUUUGGUACUUUGACUAAAUUCUAUUUGACAUGUCAUGGGUGAAUAUGAUGUCUGGUUUUAAAGCUAGCGUCAAGGUGUAAUAAUAGUUGGUACUAUGCCCUUGUUUACUACAAUUGGUGAUGUUGAAUACUAAUUUGUUUUCACUUAGCUAGUGCUUACUGCAAUAUGUUCAAUACUAAAUAUUAGUUGCUAAUACUGAUCUUGUGAUUACGUUCGCGUAUCUGACAACACAAAUGGUAUUACAAAAUUCUCGUGCUGCAUUUUAUCUUCAUUUUAUUGUAGUUUUUAUGCCUUGGUGAUAUUUUGUACUCGUUCAGUGUAAUUUUGGUAUGGAUAUCAGGUUUAGGAAAUAUUGUUGAGGCGUUGAUCAAGAAAUUGAACAUAUCGAAAGAGAGGGGGGUCCUAGGUCUCCAAGGGAACUACUGCAAAGUACUGGGAGAAGCCCACUAAGCAAAGCCCAAAUCGCAGCCCCUGUUUUAUCUUGCAGCCCCGUUGUAUUGUUGGUUAUUAGAUUGAAGCAAAGCAGCUCCUGUUUCUUGUAACUUUUUGUAUAGAGCAAGGUUGUAACUCUCCUGUCUUUAUCCUUGUUCCUAGUCUAAUUGUCCCUUUUUAGUUCAA